AGGGUUGUAGUUAAUAAUAACAUUUGAUUUGCAUUCAAAAAAUAUUGAAUAAUUCAAUCUACCUUA
This 66-nucleotide transfer RNA is filed under the name Exorista japonica. RNAcentral's name for it is "tRNA-Ala". It matches the Rfam family "tRNA". Rfam says of the family: Transfer RNA (tRNA) molecules are approximately 80 nucleotides in length. Their secondary structure includes four short double-helical elements and three loops (D, anti-codon, and T loops). Further hydrogen bonds mediate the characteristic L-shaped molecular structure. tRNAs have two regions of fundamental functional importance: the anti-codon, which is responsible for specific mRNA codon recognition, and the 3' end, to which the tRNAs corresponding amino acid is attached (by aminoacyl-tRNA synthetases). tRNAs cope with the degeneracy of the genetic code in two manners: having more than one tRNA (with a specific anti-codon) for a particular amino acid; and 'wobble' base-pairing, i.e. permitting non-standard base-pairing at the 3rd anti-codon position. The record is from RNAcentral. Lineage: Eukaryota; Metazoa; Arthropoda; Insecta; Diptera; Tachinidae. RNAcentral also lists the same sequence under 2 other names.